AGCACAAAUUAUGAGUCUGCU
RNAcentral lists this microRNA (21 nucleotides) under Gadus morhua (Atlantic cod). RNAcentral's name for it is "gmo-miR-11214-5p". The record is from miRBase by way of RNAcentral. Lineage: Eukaryota; Metazoa; Chordata; Actinopteri; Gadiformes; Gadidae.